UAUAAGGUUGGUGCAAAAGUGAUUGUGGUUUUGCCAUUGCUUUCAAUGGCAAAAAUUGCCAUUACUUCUGCACCAAACUAAUAAAU
MicroRNA precursor from Pan paniscus (pygmy chimpanzee), 86 nucleotides. The record is from Ensembl. Lineage: Eukaryota; Metazoa; Chordata; Mammalia; Primates; Hominidae.